This 491-nucleotide ribosomal RNA is filed under the name uncultured bacterium. RNAcentral describes it as "bacterial SSU rRNA". It matches the Rfam family "Bacterial small subunit ribosomal RNA", at positions 8 to 526 of the family's 1533-position model. The record is from RNAcentral.
AGAGUUUGAUCCUGGCUCAGGACUAACGCUGGCGGCGUGCCUAACACAUGCAAGUCGAGCGGGGUAGCAAUACCCAGCGGCAGACGGGUGAGUAACGCGUGGUCAACCUUCCCGACAGUGGGGGAUAACUAGCCGAAAGGUUAGCUAAUACCGCAUACGAUCUAUGAGAGGCAUCUCUUAUAGAUGAAAGGAGCAAUCCGCUUUCGGACGGGACCGCGUCCCAUUAGCUAGAUGGUGGGGUAAUGGCCUACCAUGGCGACGAUGGGUAGCUGGUUUGAGAGAGCGACCAGCCACACUGGGACUGAGAAACGGCCCAGACUCCUACGGGAGGCAGCAGUGAGGAAUUUUCCGCAAUGGGCGAAAGCCUGACGGAGCGACGCCGCGUGUGGGAAGAAGGCCUUCGGGUCGUAAACCACUGUCGAAGGGGACGAUAAUGACGGUACCCUUGGAGGAAGCCCCGGCUAACUACGUGCCAGCCGCCGCGGUAAUAC